GCGGCGGUGAGCGGCGGGCUAGAAGGCGGCUGCGGCUGCCCUGGCUCUGCUCUUGACCGCCGCCAGCCCCGGGAACUUUCCGACGCCGCCGGGAGACGGGGGACGGGCAGCCCGGGCUGGGACGCGGCCGGACCGCUGGAGCCGUGCGGGCUGGGGAAGAAGGUUUAUGGGAUGCAGGAUAAUGGAGCAUGCUCUAUCUGGGACAUUGCUAGUCUUAUGACAGAGGGAGAAGACAGCGAUGAGUUUUCGAAGAACUCCAGGAAGUGGCUGCAGAGCAAAGUAGGAUCCUGAUACUGAGCUCAAGUGAUUCAGAAUGAAAAGACCUUGGCACAGACCUGUUAAGGAAGCUCCAUAUAAGGUGAAGAAAACAACAUGCUCAGCCAUGUCCUUGCCUUCUGCACACGGUAGUGCAUUCACUGCCUGAGAAUUCAAGGCUAAAACAAAAAGAGGAGCUUUUGUUCCAACAGAUAAGUACUUACCUUUUUCAAAAAAUGCAUAAGCUGUCCUGGGUGUUUAGCAGUUAUUCGCACAGCUUUCCAAAGACUCACAGCAUUUAAAAGCUAACUCUACAGAGAUUCAACAGCUUCUUCCAGAUCCCACCACAGUGGAAAAGAACUCCGGUGUCCUGGCUCCCUGUCCAGCUCUUCUCUCUCCCCUUCCAGCUGCCAGUUCAGCUUUAAGAAGUUCAUUCUCCACAUUCAGAUGCAGGCAAAUGCGUUUGACUUGAGCAUAUUGAUUUCAGGCAGGUGAGAGUGGAUGUAGCGAUUCAGCUUGACAAAUAUUUAGAUCAGUUAAGUGUCCUUUAUAAAGAAGCACUUGAACUCAGUGUUUCCUUUACCCGACCAUUUCACUCCACAAGCUACCUCCCCAGCAUAAAAUAUUCAAAUUAUUUCUAAAUUUCAUCUACUGAAAAAAUACUUCUAGGCCCUAUAGCUACAUGAUAUCUCCACUGGGAGCCCUGUCCUUUCCAUGCCCUGGGAAAACCCGAUCUAAAGCAGAUUUAAAUGACUCAGCAGUAGGACUCAGGUCUCUGUCUCUGCCUGCUUACUUGGGGAGUGCUCCAGCCUUAGGGGCUCUCUUGCACUCCAACAUAGGAAAGAAAUUAUCGAUGGCUCCAUUCCCCAGCAUUUGAGACUUUUCUUCCCACAGACACAUUCCUGAGGACACCAGUCAUGGGUAAAGAACUCCACUGGGGUCAGCGUUGGAUCCCACUAGGCAGUUUAGGACUUGUAAGUAGAGUAGUGUGGACUUGGUGUUCCCAGAGCCUCUCACUCAUGAUUCAUGGCUCUCCACCCCAAGCAUCGGAACUUGCCCAACUUCACCACAGAAGGAAACAGACUGUAAGCUUGGAGGGCCAGGGAGGAAACCGGAGGCAUGUGUGGGAGGAUUAGAAACAUGAAAAGAUAUUUACAGUAAGGUUCGCUUGUCAUCCUCUUGAACUGGGGGUGCAUAGAGUACAAUAAGACCCCAUGUGAGUAUGUUAGAUGAUAAGGCUCAGGUUGGAUGGGUGUGUAGAGUAAAGGCUUUGCAUCACCUUUGCCAGGGUGAGGGAAGGCUAUGGAUAGCACAGGGGACCUUGAUGAUCGGGUGAGGGAGCCCAUGUGGACAUAGUGGUCACCAGCUACUUCCUAGUUCUCUACAUGGGAGAAAGAGCCCUUCUCUGUAAUCAUGGAAGCUCAAGUUCUUGGUGGUUCAGAGGUUAGAGACCUCUGAUUACUAGGACAGAGCAGAAUAGCAGGGCUGGUCCUGGUAGAUCAGACAUCUCAUGACAUCCUUUAAAAGGGACUAGAAUAUUCAGAACUCCGGUGUAACUAAAUGAUCCUCAAGCUUUACCAGCAGGUGAGCAAGGUCCCAUUGUAUUUGGUACUCACAUCCCCACCAAUUCUGUAAAAGUUUGCCAACUUUCCCCUCCAUCCCCUGCACCCUUUCACCAAAAGAUAUGCCUAAGAGUUCCCAAGAGACGUCUAACAUAGGCCUGCAUGUCAGCCCAGUCUUCUGGGCUGAGCUGCUGCACUGUUGCUGGCCUUGAUGGCUGAACCUGAUCUCUGUUGUGGCACCCACCACUCUUUCUCAAGCCUUGACACCUUGGCAGGCUUUGGCAAAAAGAGGAGAGCUGUUCUUCCUCGGCAUUAUGUUCACUUAGCAGGGUCCCACAGCAGGAUUGCUUGGACCCCAGAGUAUUGUAGGGCUUAAUAAGACCAGCCCUUUCAUCUCACACGCUCUAUCCUUUCUCUCACUGGUGCACCCACGUCAGGUGUCUUGAGUGGGGAGUGCUCGAAUAUCUGCCACCAGCUUGAGUCAGAACCUCGACUUCCCUCAGCUUUUCAGGGUCUGUUACUGAGUCUGGUCCACACUCCAGGGUCUUUUCCUCA
RNAcentral lists this long non-coding RNA (2372 nucleotides) under Homo sapiens (human). RNAcentral's name for it is "non-protein coding lnc-KLF7-1:31". The record is from RNAcentral. Lineage: Eukaryota; Metazoa; Chordata; Mammalia; Primates; Hominidae.